This is a long non-coding RNA of Oncorhynchus keta (chum salmon), 334 nucleotides long. RefSeq lists it as uncharacterized. The transcript is spliced from 3 exons. The record is from RefSeq and is a predicted model, not a curated record. NCBI's taxonomy places the organism in Eukaryota, Metazoa, Chordata, Actinopteri, Salmoniformes, Salmonidae.
GUUCUCGAAGUGAAUUAUCCAAGAUGGCAGGUGUACUGAAGUUCUCAAAGUGAAUUAUCCAAGAUGGCAGGUGUACUGAAGUUCUCGAAGUGAAUUAUCCAAGAUGGCAGGUGUGUGGAAGUUCUUGAAGUGAAUUAUCCAAGAUGGCAGGUGUACUGAAGUUCUCAAAGUGAAUUAUCCAAGAUGGCAGGUGUACUGAAGUUCUCAAAGUGAAUUAUCCAAGAUGGCAGGUGUACUGAAGUUCUCAAAGUGAAUUAUCCAAGAUGGCAGGUGUACUGAAGUUCUCAAAGUGAAUUAUCCAAGAUGGCAGGUGUACUGAAGUUCUCAAAGUGAA